This 640-nucleotide ribosomal RNA is filed under the name uncultured Actinomycetes bacterium. RNAcentral's name for it is "bacterial SSU rRNA". It matches the Rfam family "Bacterial small subunit ribosomal RNA", at positions 235 to 886 of the family's 1533-position model. The record is from RNAcentral. Lineage: Bacteria; Bacillati; Actinomycetota; Actinomycetes.
GGCCUAUCAAGCUUGUUGGUGAGGUAACGGCUCACCAAGGCAUCGCACGUGGUAGCUGGUCUGAGAGGAUGAUCAGCCACACUGGGACUGAGACACGGCCCAGACUCCUACGGGAGGCAGCAGUGGGGAAUAUUGCACAAUGGGCGAAAGCCUGAUGCAGCAACGCCGCGUGCGGGAAGAAGGCCCUAGGGUUGUAAACCGCUUUCAGCAGGGAAGAAACUGACGGUACCUGCAGAAGAAGGUGCGGCCAACUACGUGCCAGCAGCCGCGGUGACACGUAGGCACCAAGCGUUGUCCGGAUUUAUUGGGCGUAAAGAGCUCGUAGGCGGUUUGGUAAGUCGGGUGUGAAAACUCUGGGCUCAACCCAGAGACGCCACCCGAUACUGCUAUGACUUGAGUACGGUAGGGGAGCGGGGAAUUCCUGGUGUAGCGGUGAAAUGCGCAGAUAUCAGGAGGAACACCAGUGGCGAAGGCGCCGCUCUGGGCCGUAACUGACGCUGAGGAGCGAAAGCGUGGGUAGCAAACAGGAUUAGAUACCCUGGUAGUCCACGCCGUAAACGUUGGGCACUAGGUGUGGGUCUCAACCAACGAGAUCCGCGCCGUCGCUAACGCAUUAAGUGCCCCGCCUGGGGAGUACGGA